UACGUGAGGGGCGAACGUUGGUUCGGUGUCACUGGGCUUAAAGGGUGCGUAGGUGGUUGCGUAAGUAAGGUGAUGAAGCCCUCGGCGUUACCCCGGGGGAAUUGCGCCUUAUACUGCGUGGCUUGAGGAUUCAGGGGAAUGGGGAACUCCAGGUGUAGCGGUGAAAUGCGUAGAUAUCUGGAGGAACACCGGUGGCGAAGGCGGCGUUCUGGACUGCAACUGACACUGUAAAACGAAAGCCAGGGGAGCAAACGGG
Molecule: ribosomal RNA, 256 nt
Filed under: uncultured bacterium
Lineage: Bacteria
Description: partial 16S ribosomal RNA
Rfam family: Bacterial small subunit ribosomal RNA
Source: RNAcentral